AGUGUUUAGUUUAAAAAAAGAGCUGUUGUUUAAAAAAAAAUAUGCCUAAAUUGUCGACGUGUUUGGUAAAUGCCUGCGAGCAAGGAAAUAUUCAAAUUCUCCAGGCCUUGCCCAGAAAAAAUCGCGUUAAUUACUUCCCUUCGCGCUCUAUAAUUAAGGGUUCAAUUAUCAUAAUUCUAUUCAAUAUGUGUUUACUUUAUUUGGGCUAUCUCGCUUAUAAGUAUCUGAACACUUUACAAGAUGAGCAGAAGCUUCAAAUAUCCAACUAUUUAUGUAGCUUGGGUGCUUUUGUGGUUAUCAUCUCACUCCUCCGAAAUAGUGACAUGUCAAAGAAUAAUCCAUACUUCUACUACAUUUAAGCCGUAUAUGAGAAAGGAAAAUUUGAAGCGACAUUGUUUAAUAGGUAAUCCAAAUGUUUGUCAUCAUUUUAUUGGAAUUAUUGUAUCCUGCAAAUACAGUUAAAUACUGUAUUUAAACAGGACUUUUCUAAAUAGAAAUCCUGUCAUUACUUAAAUUCAUGUACACAUAACACAUACUUCAUCUGUCCAAGAAGAAUCCUUAUAGUAAAUCAUAAUAGUCAUAGUUAUAAUGAUUAACCGUGUCAUGUGUUAAAUAAACGGUUGCGUUCUUGACAAAAAAUAAAGAAAUCAAUUGAAGUAUAUAAUUGUGUACACCAUUGGACGCUCUGGUUUCAGACUGGAG
Molecule: unclassified non-coding RNA, 702 nt
Filed under: Drosophila virilis
Lineage: Eukaryota; Metazoa; Arthropoda; Insecta; Diptera; Drosophilidae
Description: GJ27028
Source: RNAcentral